UCGAGGGGCAGCAUGAACUUAGCUUGCUAAGUUUGAUGGCGACCGGCGCACGGGCUGAGUAACACGAUAUCCAACCUGCCGAUGACUCGGGGAUAGCCUUUCGAAAGAAAGAUUAAUACCCGAUGGCAUAGUUCUUCCGCAUGGCUAGAACUAUUAAAGAAUUUCGGUCAUCGAUGGGGAUGCGUUCCAUUAGGUUGUUGGCGGGGUAACGGCCCACCAAGCCUUCGAUGGAUAGGGGUUCUGAGAGGAAGGUCCCCCACAUUGGAACUGAGACACGGUCCAAACUCAUACGGGAGGCAGCAGUGAGGAAUAUUGGUCAAUGGACGAGAGUCUGAACCAGCCAAGUAGCGUGAAGGAUGACUGCCCUAUGGGUUGUAAACUUCUUUUAUACGGGAAUAAAGUGAGGCACGUGUGCCUUUUUGUAUGUACCGUAUGAAUAAGGAUCGGCUAACUCCGUGCCAGCAGCCGCGGUAAUACGGAGGAUCCGAGCGUUAUCCGGAUUUANUUGGGUUUAAAGGGGAGCGUAGGCGGACGCUUAAGUCAGUUGUGAAAGUUUGCGGCUCAACCGUAAAAUUGCAGUUGAUACUGGGUGUCUUGAGUACAGUAGAGGCAGGCGGAAUUCGUGGUGUAGCGGUGAAAUGCUUAGAUAUCACGAAGAACUCCGAUUGCGAAGGCAGCUUGCUGGACUGUAACUGACGCUGAUGCUCGAAAGUGUGGGUAUCAAACAGGAUUAGAUACCCUGGUAGUCCACACAGUAAACGAUGAAUACUCGCUGUUUGCGAUAUACAGUAAGCGGCCAAGCGAAAGCGUUAAGUAUUCCACCUGGGGAGUACGCCGGCAACGGUGAAACUCAAAGGAAUUGACGGGGGCCCGCACAAGCGGAGGAACAUGUGGUUUAAUUCGAUGAUACGCGAGGAACCUUACCCGGGCUUGAAUUGCAACUGAAUGAUGUGGAGACAUGUCAGCCGCAAGGCAGUUGUGAAGGUGCUGCAUGGUUGUCGUCAGCUCGUGCCGUGAGGUGUCGGCUUAAGUGCCAUAACGAGCGCAACCCUUAUCGAUAGUUACCAUCAGGUUAUGCUGGGGACUCUGUCGAGACUGCCGUCGUAAGAUGUGAGGAAGGUGGGGAUGACGUCAAAUCAGCACGGCCCUUACGUCCGGGGCUACACACGUGUUACAAUGGGGGGUACAGAAGGCAGCUACACGGCGACGUGAUGCUAAUCCCUAAAGCCUCUCUCAGUUCGGAUUGGAGUCUGCAACCCGACUCCAUGAAGCUGGAUUCGCUAGUAAUCGCGCAUCAGCCACGGCGCGGUGAAUACGUUCCCGGGCCUUGUACACACCGCCCGUCAAGCCAUGAAAGCCGGGGGUACCUGAAGUGCGUAACCGCAAGAG
Molecule: ribosomal RNA, 1389 nt
Filed under: bacterium NLAE-zl-G218
Lineage: Bacteria
Description: 16S ribosomal RNA
Rfam family: Bacterial small subunit ribosomal RNA
Source: RNAcentral